UGUCUGGAGCGCAGCACAUUUUGCGUUCUUAACCUUUAUGCUAGUGUCCAGUAAGCCUUUACAUUUGCUCUUGACCUCGGAUCAGGUAGGGAUACCCGCUGAACUUAAGCAUAUCAAUAAGCGGAGGAAAAGAAACCAACAGGGAUUGCCCUAGUAACGGCGAGUGAAGCGGCAACAGCUCAAAUUUGAAAUCUGGCUCUUUUAGAGUCCGAGUUGUAAUUUGCAGAGGGCGCUUUGGCGUUGGCAGCGGUCCAAGUUCCUUGGAACAGGACGUCACAGAGGGUGAGAAUCCCGUACGUGGUCGCUAACCUUCGCCGUGUAAAGCCCCUUCGACGAGUCGAGUUGUUUGGGAAUGCAGCUCUAAAUGGGAGGUAAAUUUCUUCUAAAGCUAAAUACUGGCCAGAGACCGAUAGCGCACAAGUAGAGUGAUCGAAAGAUGAAAAGCACUUUGGAAAGAGAGUCAAACAGCACGUGAAAUUGUUGAAAGGGAAGCGCUUGCAGCCAGACUUGCCUGUAGUUGCUCAUCCGGGCUUUUGCCCGGUGCACUCUUCUGCGGGCAGGCCAGCAUCAGUUUGGACGGUUGGAUAAAGGUCUCUGUCAUGUACCUCUCUUCGGGGAGGCCUUAUAGGGGAGACGACAUGCAACCAGUCUGGACUGAGGUCCGCGCAUUUGCUAGGAUGCUGGCGUAAUGGCUGUAAGCGGCC
Molecule: ribosomal RNA, 704 nt
Filed under: uncultured fungus
Lineage: Eukaryota; Fungi
Description: eukaryotic LSU rRNA
Rfam family: Eukaryotic large subunit ribosomal RNA (bases 72-704)
Source: RNAcentral